GACGAACGCUGGCGGCGUGCCUAAUACAUGCAAGUAGAACGCUGAAGGAGGAGCUUGCUUCUCUGGAUGAGUUGCGAACGGGUGAGUAACGCGUAGGUAACCUGCCUGGUAGCGGGGGAUAACUAUUGGAAACGAUAGCUAAUACCGCAUAAGAGUAGAUGUUGCAUGACAUUUGCUUAAAAGGUGCAAUUUCAUCACUACCAGAUGGACCUGCGUUGUAUUAGCUAGUUGGUGGGGUAACGGCUCACCAAGGCGACGAUACAUAGCCGACCGGAGAGGGUGAACGGCCCAACUGGGACUGGGAAAAGGCCCAGAACCCUUAGGGAGGCAGCAGUAGGGAAUCUUCGGCAAUGGACGGAAGUCUGACCGAGCAACGCCGCGUGAGUGAAGAAGGUUUUCGGAUCGUAAAGCUCUGUUGUAAGAGAAGAACGAGUGUGAGAGUGGAAAGUUCACACUGUGACGGUAUCUUACCAGAAAGGGACGGCUAACUACGUG
This 495-nucleotide ribosomal RNA is filed under the name uncultured bacterium. RNAcentral describes it as "partial 16S ribosomal RNA". It matches the Rfam family "Bacterial small subunit ribosomal RNA", at positions 28 to 507 of the family's 1533-position model. The record is from RNAcentral.